Molecule: ribosomal RNA, 431 nt
Filed under: uncultured bacterium
Lineage: Bacteria
Description: partial 16S ribosomal RNA
Rfam family: Bacterial small subunit ribosomal RNA
Source: RNAcentral
AGCGAACGCUGGCGGCAGGCUUAACACAUGCAAGUCGAGCGGCCCGCAAGGGGAGCGGCAGACUGGAGGGUAACACGUGGGAACAUACCUAUUGGUUCAGAACAACUGAGGGAAACUUCAGCUAAUACCGGAUAAGCGCUAACGCGGAAAGAUUUAUCGCCGAAAGAUUGGGGCGCGUCUGAUUAGCGGGUUGGGGGGGUAACGGCGCGCCAAGGCGACGAGCUGUAGCUGGUAUGGGAGGAGGAUCAGCCUGACUGGGACUGAGACACGGCCCAGACUCCUACGCGAGGCAGCAGUGGGGAGUAUUGGACACUGAGGGCAACCCUGAUCCAGCCAUGCCGCGUGAGUGAUGAAGGCCUUAGGGUUGUAAAGCUCUUUUGCCCGGGAAGAUAAUGACGGUACCGGGAGAAUAAGCCCCGGCUAACUUCGUG